RNAcentral lists this ribosomal RNA (1184 nucleotides) under Pseudomonas sp. RNAcentral's name for it is "bacterial SSU rRNA". It matches the Rfam family "Bacterial small subunit ribosomal RNA", at positions 68 to 1251 of the family's 1533-position model. Lineage: Bacteria; Pseudomonadati; Pseudomonadota; Gammaproteobacteria; Pseudomonadales; Pseudomonadaceae. The record is from RNAcentral.
GGUAGAGAGAAGCUUGCUUCUCUUGAGAGCGGCGGACGGGUGAGUAAUGCCUAGGAAUCUGCCUAGUGGUGGGGGAUAACGUUCGGAAACGGACGCUAAUACCGCAUACGUCCUACGGGAGAAAGCGGGGGACCUUCGGGCCUCGCGCCAUUAGAUGAGCCUAGGUCGGAUUAGCUAGUUGGUGAGGUAAAGGCUCACCAAGGCUACGAUCCGUAACUGGUCUGAGAGGAUGAUCAGUCACACUGGAACUGAGACACGGUCCAGACUCCUACGGGAGGCAGCAGUGGGGAAUAUUGGACAAUGGGCGAAAGCCUGAUCCAGCCAUGCCGCGUGUGUGAAGAAGGUCUUCGGAUUGUAAAGCACUUUAAGUUGGGAGGAAGGGUAGUAACUUAAUACGUUGCUACUUUGACGUUACCGACAGAAUAAGCACCGGCUAACUUCGUGCCAGCAGCCGCGGUAAUACGAAGGGUGCAAGCGUUAAUCGGAAUUACUGGGCGUAAAGCGCGCGUAGGUGGUUUGUUAAGUUGAAUGUGAAAUCCCCGGGCUCAACCUGGGAACUGCAUCCAAAACUGGCAAGCUAGAGUACAGUAGAGGGUGGUGGAAUUUCCUGUGUAGCGGUGAAAUGCGUAGAUAUAGGAAGGAACACCAGUGGCGAAGGCGACCACCUGGACUGAUACUGACACUGAGGUGCGAAAGCGUGGGGAGCAAACAGGAUUAGAUACCCUGGUAGUCCACGCCGUAAACGAUGUCAACUAGCCGUUGGGAGUCUUGAACUCUUAGUGGCGCAGCUAACGCAUUAAGUUGACCGCCUGGGGAGUACGGCCGCAAGGUUAAAACUCAAAUGAAUUGACGGGGGCCCGCACAAGCGGUGGAGCAUGUGGUUUAAUUCGAAGCAACGCGAAGAACCUUACCUGGCCUUGACAUGCUGAGAACUUUCUAGAGAUAGAUUGGUGCCUUCGGGAACUCAGACACAGGUGCUGCAUGGCUGUCGUCACCUCGUGUCCUGAGAUGUUGGGUUAAGUCCCGUAACGAGCGCAACCCUUGUCCUUAGUUACCAGCACGUAAUGGUGGGAACUCUAAGGAGACUGCCGGUGACAACCCGGAGGAAGGUGGGGAUGACGUCAGUCAUCAUGGCCUUACGGCAGGGGUACCACAUGCUUCAAUGGUCGGUACAAAGGGUGGCC